Long non-coding RNA from Xiphophorus hellerii (green swordtail), 263 nucleotides. RefSeq lists it as uncharacterized. The record is from RefSeq and is a predicted model, not a curated record. Lineage: Eukaryota; Metazoa; Chordata; Actinopteri; Cyprinodontiformes; Poeciliidae. The transcript is spliced from 2 exons.
GCAGAAGUUCGCACCUGGACAGGUUUACAACACGCAAAAUUAGACGCCUAAAACAUGACGCCAUCAUGUGAAAGGCGAUUCAAGGAAGUGUCAAUGCGAAAAUCACUGAGAGUGGAACUCAAGACAGACUGACUGACCUGAUCCCCUUGCUCCACACUGCCUUGUUGAGGCGAGUGUCGAUGCGGACAUCAGGAGUUCCCAUCUCCUUCAUGGCGAACUUGCGGAUCUCGUUGAUGGCACGGGGAGCCCUCUUCUUGAAACCC